CAAGUCGAGGGGCAGCAUGGUUGUAGCAAUACAACUGAUGGCGACCGGCAAACGGGUGCGGAACACGUACGCAAUCUACCCAAAACUGAUGAAUAGCCCUCCGAAAGGAGGAUUAAUACAUCGUAACUUAAGGAAGUGGCAUCACUAUCUUAAUAUAGCUCCGGCGGUUUUGGAUGAGCGUGCGCCUGAUUAGGUAGUUGGCGGGGUAACGGCCCACCAAGCCUGCGAUCAGUAACUGGUGUGAGAGCACGACCAGUCACACGGGCACUGGGACACGGGCCCGACUCCUACGGGAGGCAGCAGUAAGGAAUAUUGGUCAAUGGACGCAAGUCUGAACCAGCCAUGCCGCGUGAAGGAUGAAGGUCCUCUGGAUUGUAAACUUCUUUUAUAGGGGAAGAAACCCGGAAAUUCUUUUCCGGUUGACGGUACCCUGGGAAUAAGCACCGGCUAACUCCGUGCCAGCAGCCGCGGUAAUACGGAGGGUGCAAGCGUUAUCCGGAUUCACUGGGUUUAAAGGGAGCGUAGGAGGGCAGGUAAGUCAGUGGUGAAAUCUUCGAGCUUAACUCGGAAACUGCCGUUGAUACUAUCUGUCUUGAAUACCGUGGAGAUGAGCGGAAUAUGUCAUGUAGCGGUGAAAUGCUUAGAUAUGACAUAGAACACCAAUUGCGAAGGCAGCUCGUUACACGAAUAUUGACUCUGAGGCUCGAAAGCGUGGGGAUCAAACAGGAUUAGAUACCCUGGUAGUCCACGCCCUAAACGAUGGAUACUCGACAUACGCGAUACACUGUGUGUGUCUGAGCGAAAGCAUUAAGUAUCCCACCUGGGAAGUACGACCGCAAGGUUGAAACUCAAAGGAAUUGGCGGGGGUCCGCACAAGCGGUGGA
RNAcentral lists this ribosomal RNA (884 nucleotides) under uncultured Flavobacteriia bacterium. Its description in RNAcentral is "bacterial SSU rRNA". It matches the Rfam family "Bacterial small subunit ribosomal RNA", at positions 58 to 936 of the family's 1533-position model. Lineage: Bacteria; Pseudomonadati; Bacteroidota; Flavobacteriia. The record is from RNAcentral.